GACGAACGCUGGCGGCGUGCUUAACACAUGCAAGUCGAACGGUGAAGCGCCUUCCUUUUUGGUUGGUGUGGAUGAGUGGCGAACGGGUGAGUAACACGUGAGUAACCUGCCCCCUUCUUCUGGAUAACCGCAUGAAAGUGUGGCUAAUACGGGAUAUUCUGGUUCUGUCGCAUGAUGGGUCUGGGAAAGAUAUUGUUUCGGUGGGGGAUGGGCUCGCGGCCUAUCAGCUUGUUGGUGGGGUGAUGGCCUACCAAGGCGGUGACGGGUAGCCGGCCUGGGAGGGUGGCCGGUCACACUGGGACUGCGACACGGCCCAGACUGCUACGGGAGGCAGCAGUGGGGAGUAUUGCACAAUGGGCGCAAGCCUGAUGCAGCGACGCCGCGUGAGGGAUGGAGGCCUUCGGGUUGUGAACCUCUUUCGCCAGUGAAGCAGGCCUGCCUCGUUUGUGGGUGGGUUGACGGUAGCUGGAUAAGAAGCGCCGGCUAACUACGUG
Molecule: ribosomal RNA, 494 nt
Filed under: uncultured bacterium
Lineage: Bacteria
Description: partial 16S ribosomal RNA
Rfam family: Bacterial small subunit ribosomal RNA
Source: RNAcentral